This 98-nucleotide ribosomal RNA is filed under the name Shewanella algae. Its description in RNAcentral is "partial 16S ribosomal RNA". It matches the Rfam family "Bacterial small subunit ribosomal RNA", at positions 1 to 93 of the family's 1533-position model. Lineage: Bacteria; Pseudomonadati; Pseudomonadota; Gammaproteobacteria; Alteromonadales; Shewanellaceae. The record is from RNAcentral.
UAAUUGAAGAGUUUGAUCAUGGCUCAGAUUGAACGCUGGCGGCAGGCCUAACACAUGCAAGUCGAGCGGUAACAUUUCAAAAGCUUGCUUUUGAAGAU